GUUAAAAAUCUUGUUAAUGGUUUGGGGUUAAAUGUUUAUAAAUGAAAAAUAAUUUUUAAUUAUAAUUAGGUAAUUUUUAGUGAAUUUUUUUAAUAACUAUAAAAAAUAAGUACUGUAAAGGAAGGAUUGUAAUAAAAAUAAAAGUAUAAAUUAAAUUUAGUACCUUGUGUAUCAGGGAAAAUUUAUAUAAUAAAAAUAAUAUUUGAAUCUCGAAAUAGAAAUAGCUAAUUUUAUAAUAAAGUUUUUGUUAGAUAAAAAUUUUAAAUAUAAAAUUAAAGAUGAAAUGUUAGGCGAGUUCUAUUAUAUCUAGUUUUUUAAAAGGAAAAUUUAAUUUAAUUUUUAUAUUAAUUAUAAUAUAAAUAGAUAAAAUAAAAAGGGUAAGCUUUUUAUUAUAGAAGAUGAAAUAGUAAAAUAUUAGAUAACCUAAGAUCUAAGCUUAAAAAUAGCUAUGUUAAUAAAGUGUUUUAAUUAAUUUUUUUUAUUAAAAAAAAUUAAAGUAUUAUACUUUUCUUUUAUAUUAAAAAUUUAUUUAAAAUAGAAAAGAAUAAGAUAAAAUGAUUUUAUUAGUAUAAGUUUUAUUGUAAAAAGAAUAAAAUAGAAUAUUUAUUAAGUUAUUAAAAAUGAUAAUAAAUUAAAGGAAUUCGACAAAAGGUUUUCUUGCCUGUUUAUCAAAAACAUGUCUAUUUGGAGGUAUAAAAAGUCUGGCCUGCCCACUGAUUAGAAUUAAAAAAUUUAAGGGCCGCGGUAUUAUGACCGUGCAAAGGUAGCAUAAUCAUUAGGUUUUUAAAUGAGAUCUUGUAUGAAUGGUUUGACAAAGGAAAAGUUGUCUUUAAGUUAGAAUUUGAAUUUAACUUUUAAGUGAGAAGGCUUAAAUAUUUUAGGGGGACGAUAAGACCCUAUAAAGCUUUAUAUUAUAAUUGUAUUUAAUUAAAUUUUGUAUAAAAGUUUUAUAUAAUUAUUUAUUUUGUUGGGGAGACAUAAGUAAAAAUUGUAUUAACUGCUUAAAAAGUAAACAUAUAUUGGUGGAGAAAUUAUAGAUCCUAUUUUUAGAUUUUAAGAUUAAGUUACUUUAGGGAUAACAGUGUAAUUUUUUUUGAGAGUUCUUAUCGAAAAAAGAGUUUGCAACCUCGAUGUUGAAUUAAAUUACCUAUAUAAUGCAGUUGUUAUUCAAGGUGGUCUGUUC
Molecule: ribosomal RNA, 1183 nt
Filed under: Oziotelphusa biloba
Lineage: Eukaryota; Metazoa; Arthropoda; Malacostraca; Decapoda; Parathelphusidae
Description: partial 16S ribosomal RNA
Source: RNAcentral